GAGUUUGAUCCUGGCUCAGGACGAACGCUGGCGGCGUGCCUAAUACAUGCAAAUCGAGCGGACCGACGGGAGCUUGCUCCCUUAGGUCAGCGGCGGACGGGUGAGUAACACGUGGGUAACCUGCCUGUAAGACUGGGAUAACUCCGGGAAACCGGGGCUAAUACCGGAUGCUUGAUUGAACCGCAUGGUUCAAUCAUAAAAGGUGGCUUUUAGCUACCACUUACAGAUGGACCCGCGGCGCAUUAGCUAGUUGGUGAGGUAACGGCUCACCAAGGCGACGAUGCGUAGCCGACCUGAGAGGGUGAUCGGCCACACUGGGACUGAGACACGGCCCAGACUCCUACGGGAGGCAGCAGUAGGGAAUCUUCCAGCAAUGGACGAAAGUCUGACGGAGCAACGCCGCGUGAGUGAUGAAGGUUUUCGGAUCGUAAAACUCUGUUGUUAGGGAAGAACAAGUACCGUUCGAAUAGGGCGGCACCUUGACGGUACCUAACCAGAAAGCCACGGCUAACUACGUGCCAGCAGCCGCGGUAAUACGUAGGUGGCAAGCGUUGUCCGGACUUAUUGGGCGUAAAGCGCGCGCAGGCGGUUUCUUAAGUCUGAUGUGAAAGCCCCCGGCUCAACCGGGGAGGGUCAUUGGAAACUGGGGAACUUGAGUGCAGAAGAGGAGAGUGGAAUUCCACGUGUAGCGGUGAAAUGCGUAGAGAUGUGGAGGAACACCAGUGGCGAAGGCGACUCUCUGGUCUGUAACUGACGCUGAGGCGCGAAAGCGUGGGGAGCGAACAGGAUUAGAUACCCUGGUAGUCCACGCCGUAAACGAUGAGUGCUAAGUGUUAGAGGGUUUCCGCCCUUUAGUGCUGCAGCAAACGCAUUAAGCACUCCGCCUGGGGAG
Molecule: ribosomal RNA, 892 nt
Filed under: Bacillus licheniformis
Lineage: Bacteria; Bacillati; Bacillota; Bacilli; Caryophanales; Bacillaceae
Description: bacterial SSU rRNA
Rfam family: Bacterial small subunit ribosomal RNA
Source: RNAcentral